CCUACAUUUUGUACCUGGCCUUAACAAACUUAACCCACUUGAUUUUUUAGCCCCUUUGACUUUGGUAGCCUUUCACAAACCUAUGAACCCAUUGAUGUGAUUCUAUCAUUCUAUAUUAUGAUUUUUGUUGAACCAACUUCGAGGAACAGGUCGCAUCCGUUGAUUUUUAAUUAGGAGGAUGAAUUAGUUUCUUUGAUUUAAUUGGUACCUUGUUGAUUUCCUUUAGCUAUUUUAAAUCCAAUUAAAUCUUGCCACAUUCUAUUCCCUCACCCCAAUUAAAUUAAGAGUUGAAUUAUUUCCUUACGGCUAAGUAAGCAAAUUUUCGCCCCCUCCCUCAUUAUUUCCUACUUGAAGAUUUAAUUUAUUUUGUUCCCUUGUUUAUGGAAUAUUCAUUGUUUUAUUUCCUAAAUUGUGAAUCGAUUCCUCUCCAAGUAAAUACCAAAUAAAUUCUUUAUUGAAUUUCUAGCCAUAAUUUUCGAAACCUUGCCUUCCUUUUAUUGUGGGAUUUUAUUUAUUGGUGUUGAUUUGUAGAAGUAUAUGAGAGAAGGGAGACUUUCUUGUUUGAUAGGAAUAUAUGGCUUCUCUUAUUUUUCACACCAUGAAACUACAUGUUACAUACAUAUAUAUAUAGUUGAUAAUGGAUAAGGUAAUCCACAUCUCAUCAUCAAAACUAAUACCAUGCUUAUCUAUAAUUUCAUCCUUAUCCCUAAACAAACCCUAUCCCCCAUUCUCCAUCACAAAAAAUGUCCACCUCCCUCUCUCCCUCACUCCACACGUUUUUUCCCCCUCCCUCUCUACAAUCUCUCCAAAAAUCCUCCAUUCAAUUCCUGUUCUUGCAUCCGUUGAAGUUUAUUUUCAAGAAUCUCUGACGAAUCGCAUCGUUUCUUGUCUCUACCGAUCCAUUUUUGUCAAAGAAGGGUGAUUGAGUAUACGUGAGCUCGAGGAACGAGGGUUGCCUUAAAUAGAUAUUGAAUGGUUUAAGUAAACGAGCAAUCGAGAAUUUCGUCGCUGCGAUGAAACAGCAGCAACAGAGGCGACGGAGAUGCAACAGCGCCGUCAGCUCGAGUGGGAGCCAGUCGGCAGAUUCCCAGACUCGUGUCACGACGGCAGCACUGCAGCGUUUCAGUGGGAGUCCGACAAAGGCAUGAUCGGUGCAGGAGCAGCGACGACAACGGCGCUGCGGUACCGAGCGGGGUGUUGGAGGCAACGUGGGAGCAGCGACAACGAUGUAGCAGCAGCGUCAGUGACGACGCAGCAGCAUCGACGUCGGACUGCAGCGGCGUCCCUCCGUGAGCAGCCCCAAGAAUGGACGAAAUUAGGGUUUUUGUCCUAUGCGCGAUGCUCGCGCGGGUGGAACCCGCGUGACGUCGAUCGCCUCGUUCCGUGACUACGCUUUCCAAAAAUUGAUUAGGGUUUUUCCUUGGAUUCAAUUUUGGAAAUUAUUCAAGAUAAAUAUGGAAAUAAGAUUUGAAUAUAUCUUUUGUGGAUUUUAUAUAUUAUAUGAGAUUUAA
Long non-coding RNA from Salvia splendens (bonfire salvia), 1511 nucleotides. RefSeq lists it as uncharacterized. Lineage: Eukaryota; Viridiplantae; Streptophyta; Magnoliopsida; Lamiales; Lamiaceae. The transcript has 3 exons. The record is from RefSeq and is a predicted model, not a curated record.